GACGAACGCUGGCGGCGUGCUUAACACAUGCAAGUCGAACGAAAAGACGGAAAGAGCUUGCUCUUUUCAGAAUUGAGUGGCAAACGGGUGAGUAACACGUAAACAACCUGCCUUCAGGAUGGGGACAACAGACGGAAACGACUGCUAAUACCGAAUAAGUUCCAAGGGCCGCAUGGCCCAUGGAAGAAAAGGUGGCCUCUACCUGUAAGCUAUCGCCUGAAGAGGGGUUUGCGUCUGAUUAGCUGGUUGGAGGGGUAACGGCCCACCAAGGCGACGAUCAGUAGCCGGUCUGAGAGGAUGAACGGCCACACUGGAACUGAGACACGGUCCAGACUCCUACGGGAGGCAGCAGUGGGGAAUCUUCCGCAAUGGGCGAAAGCCUGACGGAGCAACGCCGCGUGAGUGAUGACGGCCUUCGGGUUGUAAAACUCUGUGAUCCGGGACGAAAAGGCAGAGUGCGAAGAACAAACUGCAUUGACGGUACCGGAAAAGCAA
Molecule: ribosomal RNA, 495 nt
Filed under: Dialister invisus
Lineage: Bacteria; Bacillati; Bacillota; Negativicutes; Veillonellales; Veillonellaceae
Description: bacterial SSU rRNA
Rfam family: Bacterial small subunit ribosomal RNA
Source: RNAcentral